Molecule: ribosomal RNA, 253 nt
Filed under: uncultured bacterium
Lineage: Bacteria
Also listed under: 1 other name
Description: partial 16S ribosomal RNA
Rfam family: Bacterial small subunit ribosomal RNA
Source: RNAcentral
UACGAAGGGUGCAAGCGUUACUCGGAAUUACUGGGCGUAAAGCGUGCGUAGGUGGUUUGUUAAGUCAGAUGUGAAAGCCCCGGGCUCAACCUGGGAAUUGCAUUUGAUACUGGCUAACUAGAGUGAGGUAGAGGAGAGUGGAAUUCCCGGUGUAGCAGUGAAAUGCGUAGAGAUCGGGAGGAACAUCAGUUGCGAAGGCGGCUCUCUGGACCAUCACUGACACUGAGGCACGAAAGCGUGGGGAGCAAACAGG